UCCAGGGAGGUAUUAAGUUGGUGCAAAAGUAAUUGUGGUUUUUUGCCAUUAAAAGUAAUGACAAUACUGGCAAUUACUUUUCCUCCAAACCUGAUAUU
MicroRNA precursor from Macaca mulatta (Rhesus monkey), 98 nucleotides. NCBI's taxonomy places the organism in Eukaryota, Metazoa, Chordata, Mammalia, Primates, Cercopithecidae. The record is from Ensembl.